AAUCAACGCUGGCGGCGUGCCUAACACAUGCAAGUCGAGCGGGAAAGGGGCUUCGGCCCCUGAGUAUAGCGGCGGACGGGUGAGUAACACGUGGGUAAUUUGCCCUUGGGUGUGGAAUAACUCAGGGAAACUUGAGCUAAUACCGCAUGACAUCCCCUUCACACACGAGUCGGGGAUCAAAGCCGGGGACCCUUCGGGGCCUGGCGCCUGACGGAGAAGCCCGCGCCCGAUUAGCUAGGUUGGNGAGGUAAUGGCUCACCAAGGCUUCGAUCGGUAGCCGGCCUGAGAGGGCGGACGGCCACACUGGGACUGAGACACGGCCCAGACUCCUACGGGAGGCAGCAGUGGGAAUUUUGUCAAUGGGGAACCUGAACAAGCAACGCCGCGUGGAGGACGACG
This 399-nucleotide ribosomal RNA is filed under the name uncultured bacterium. Its description in RNAcentral is "bacterial SSU rRNA". It matches the Rfam family "Bacterial small subunit ribosomal RNA", at positions 29 to 413 of the family's 1533-position model. The record is from RNAcentral.